ACAAUGGUCGUAGCAUUCCUUUUCACUGACUGACAGUGGCUCUCCCUCUAGAAGUUUCUUGCUGAGAACCACGACAGGAUGUGACUUGUGCUCUGUUGCUUC
Chelonoidis abingdonii (Abingdon island giant tortoise) is the source of this 102-nucleotide non-coding RNA. Lineage: Eukaryota; Metazoa; Chordata; Testudines; Testudinidae. The record is from RefSeq and is a predicted model, not a curated record.